GUAGCCUCUGGUCCUUUUGUUACUUGGGUGUGGAUAGUUAGGGUUUUCCUUUUGAUUUAGUUCUAGAAAGUCAGAGUGAAUCAGCUUUAGGUUCCCUGCCUCCAGGCCCUAUUCUCCUGCCUCAAUUUCUGACCUGUGCUUCUGUGACCUGGCCCUGAAAGAGCCACCAGCUCUCUCCAGCUCAGCAGAUGAUCCAGUCUUCACUGGUAGAACUGCCUUGGCUUUAAAUUCGAAGCAUGGUUGGAGCUUAACAAAUGAUAGAAAAAAAUAUGGAGAAUUGAAUUGAUGGGUGAAUAACAUUUGGAGAACAAGCAUAACCACACUGGCCUCAGCUCUCAAAUAUUAAGGAAGCUAAGGGGAGCUCAUCAUUCCUUCCUAAAGUCAGAUUACCCUGAUUCUGUAGAUAUGGAAUCCUGUGGUUAUGCCUCCUCACAAGUGAUGUAAAUUUACAGUUGUUAUGAGAUGACCCUGCAUGUUCUCAAGCAAAUGACAGUAAAGAGGAUGAUAAUGAGUGAAUGAAAUAAAGAGAAGUAGGAGAAAGAAAUGGGCAAUAAAAAAUAGCUUUUAAUGAGCACAUACUCUGUGCCAGGCACUGUGCUAAACACUAGCACACAGCAGCACACUCAAUCCUUACAAUAAUCUUAUAUAGUAGUGAUAUUACCCCUAAUUUACAGGUGAUGAAACUGUAGUGGAGUCAGAAUUUGGUUCCAAACCUGCACUCCUAACCCCUUUGUUAAGCUCCUUUCCCCAUAGGAGGCGAAUUCUCUACUCUUAGGCUUUCACACUCAUUUGGCUUCAAGAAGUAGUGGCUAGGUUGGCCAUCCCCUAUCAUUGUCAUAUGUAAUGUUUUUACCAACAAUACUCUUUGAUGCUAGGGCGCAUCUGUGUAAUCCCUUGCAAAGUUGAAAAACUGAGUUCAUCAACUAGGGCAAGUAAUUUCAGCUCACAUGUCCUGGGAAAAUAACUGGACUUGGAUCUAGUUCCUGCCCUGACCAUGUGGCCUUGAAAACCACUCACCUGCUCUGAGUCUGCUCUCUAGCAUUCCAUGUCUCCAUAGUGUUGUUCAAAAAUUAAAGGAGCCAUUGGCGUAGAAGCACUCUAUGAACUGUAAGGACUACAAAAAUAAAAAUUAUUUCUAUGUCAUAAAAGAAGUUCAACUCCUUUUUUUCCGCUGAAUUCACUAAUUACGUAAAAGUCAUGGAGACAAGAUCUUCCAUGGCUGGAUUCAUUCCAACAACAACAGAUUCCACAAACAUCCAGUAAGGUCCUCACAUGAGCCAGGUGCUUUUAUAGUUUAUUUUCUUUUUUCAAAGACAAGAAACAAUAUGUUUAUGACCAAGUAACUUCUGCAUCUUCUCAUAUUUUGGCAGGUAUUAUACCUGCUGAGGAUUAAAUACCUCGAGCUGGACUUGGAUAGGUCAGUUAAUUGGGAUUCAGACACCCUGGUUUGAUUCCACAAACAACAAGUUGUCCUCCACUUCCUUGGCUCACAAAUGUGCACACAUCUGUGUGGCCCAUGGGGCAAGGUCAAAGUGUUUUUUCCUGGAGGCCAUUUUGUCACAUGUAGUCCUUGUGUGAUAUGUAUGCCACAGAUGUAUUAGUGAGAUUUCAGCACGUGAGGAUCACAGCUAAUGGGAAGUCCUCGCAUUUCAUAGUCUGGCAGGCCUGGGUCUAAAUCCUGCUUCUUUGGCGCCAUUCAUUGUGUGUGACCCCAAGGCAAAUCACGCCAUCUCUACACAUGCAUUGUAUCACCUGUCUUCUACCAGAUCUUCCUAUGGUGUGCACCAUUUCCUUUGGGCUCUGUCAUCACUCCGUGACAACCAGGUUAUCUGAGAGAAUAAUUUCUGCUAAUGUGCCAAGAGAAUAUAUGUGCCUGUUGGGUUCCUUCUGGAGAAGAUGGUAUUUUUAAGUAUGGAUGACCAAGGACUGGGAUUCUAAAGGGGCUGGACAAGAUUAGUCAAGUAACUGUAAGCCAACUGAAAUGAAUUUGAAUGAAAGAAGGAGUUAAUUGGCUUAUGUGACUGGGAAGGGUGGGGGUGGGGUGGCUGGAGGAACCCCGUCGGGACCUGCACUGACUCCCAUCACAGCUCUGCCGGUGUGUUGUCACAGUUCUUAUGAGCUUUUCCACUUCGCUGGGGCCAGAGCUAUACUUCCAGGACCACACAUCCUUAUAGCUCCCAUCAAGAGAAAAGAUGUCUCUUU
This 2202-nucleotide long non-coding RNA is filed under the name Homo sapiens (human). Its description in RNAcentral is "HSALNT0200406". The record is from RNAcentral. Lineage: Eukaryota; Metazoa; Chordata; Mammalia; Primates; Hominidae.